GAACGCUGGCGGCGUGCUUACACAUGCAAGUCGAACGCUGAAGGCUCAGCUUGCUGGGCUGGAUGAGUGGCGAACGGGUGAGUAACACGUGAGUAACCUGCCCUCUUCUUUGGGAUAACGGUCGGAAACGGCUGCUAAUACCGGGUAUUCACUGUCCUUCGCAUGGGGGGUGGUGGAAAGGUUUUUUCUGGUGGGGGAUGGGCUCGCGGCCUAUCAGCUUGUUGGUGGGGUGAUGGCUUACCAAGGCUUUGACGGGUAACCGGCCUGAGAGGGUGACCGGUCACAUUGGGACUGAGAUACGGCCCAGACUCCUACGGGAGGCAGCAGUGGGGAAUAUUGCACAAUGGGCGAAAGCCUGAUGCAGCGACGCCGCGUGAGGGAUGAAGGCCUUCGGGUUGUAAACCUCUUUCGCUCAUGGUCAAGCCGCAACUUUGGGUUGUGGUGAGGGUAGUGGGUAAAGAAGCACCGGCUAACUACGUGCCAGCAGCCGCGGUAAUACGUAGGGUGCGAGCGUUGUCCGGAAUUAUUGGGCGUAAAGGGCUUGUAGGCGGUUUGUCGCGUCUGCCGUGAAAUCCUCUGGCUUAACUGGGGGCGUGCGGUGGGUACGGGCAGACUUGAGUGCGGUAGGGGAGACUGGAACUCCUGGUGUAGCGGUGGAAUGCGCAGAUAUCAGGAAGAACACCGGUGGCGAAGGCGGGUCUCUGGGCCGUUACUGACGCUGAGGAGCGAAAGCGUGGGGAGCGAACAGGAUUAGAUACCCUGGUAGUCCACGCUGUAAACGUUGGGCACUAGGUGUGGGGGCCACCCGUGGUUUCUGCGCCGUAGCUAACGCUUUAAGUGCCC
This 843-nucleotide ribosomal RNA is filed under the name uncultured Actinomyces sp. RNAcentral describes it as "bacterial SSU rRNA". It matches the Rfam family "Bacterial small subunit ribosomal RNA", at positions 31 to 869 of the family's 1533-position model. The record is from RNAcentral. Lineage: Bacteria; Bacillati; Actinomycetota; Actinomycetes; Actinomycetales; Actinomycetaceae.